Molecule: ribosomal RNA, 324 nt
Filed under: uncultured eukaryote
Lineage: Eukaryota
Description: partial 18S ribosomal RNA
Rfam family: Eukaryotic small subunit ribosomal RNA
Source: RNAcentral
CCCUUAGAUGUUCUGGGCUGCACGCGCGCUACACUGAUGCGCUCAACGAGUUUACGAACUUGCCCGGAAGGGUUGGUUAAUCUUUUUAAAACGCAUCGUGAUGGGGAUAGAUUAUUGCAAUUAUUAGUCUUGAACGAGGAAUUCCUAGUAAGCACAAGUCAUCAGCUUGUGUUGAUUACGUCCCUGCCCUUUGUACACACCGCCCGUCGCUCCUACCGAUUGAAUGUUCCGGUGAGCUCUUCGGACUGCGCGGUCUGCAGUUUCUGCGUUCCGUGCGGAAAGUUGUGCAAACCUUAACAUUUAGAGGAAGGAGAAGUCGUAACA